Long non-coding RNA from Oncorhynchus tshawytscha (Chinook salmon), 748 nucleotides. The record is from Ensembl. Lineage: Eukaryota; Metazoa; Chordata; Actinopteri; Salmoniformes; Salmonidae.
GGACGGCAGGUAGCCUAGUGGUUAGAGUGUAGGGGCGGCAGGUAGCCUAGUGGGGGCGGCAGGUAGCCUAGUGGUUAGAGUGUAGGGACGGCAGGUAGCCUAGUGGUUAGAGUGUAGGAACGGCAGGUAGCCUAGUGGUUAGAGUGUAGGGACGGCAGGUAGCCUAGUGGUUAGAGUGUAGGGACGGCAGAUAGUCUAGUGGUUAGAGUGUAGGGACGGCAGAUAGUCUAGUGGUUAGAGUGUAGGGGAGGCAGGUAGCCUAGUGGUUAGAGUGUAGUGGAGGCAGGUAGCCUAGUGGUUAGAGUGUAGGGAUGGCUGGUAGCCUAGUGGUUAGAGUGUAGGGACGGCAGGUAGCCUAGUGGUUAGAGUGUAGGGACGGCAGGUUGCCUAGUGGUUAGAGCGUAGGGACGGCAGGUAGCCUAGUGGUUAGAGUGUAGGGACGGCAGGUAGCCUAGGGGUUAGAGUGUAAGGACGGCAGGUAGCCUAGUGGUUAGAGUGUAGGGAUGGCAGGUAGCCUAGUGGUUAGCGUGUAGGGACGGUAGGUAGCCUAGUCGUUAGCGUGUAGGGGCGGCAGGUAGCCUAGUGGUUAGAGUGUAGGGACGGCAGGUAGCCUAGUGGUUAGAGUGUAUGGACGGCUGGUAGCCUAGUGAUUAGAGUGUAGGGGCGGCAGGUAGCCUAGUGGUUAGAGUGUAGGGACGGCAGAUAGCCUAGUGGUUAGAGUGUAGGGGCGGCAGGUAGCCUAGUGGUU